RNAcentral lists this long non-coding RNA (1336 nucleotides) under Gallus gallus (chicken). RNAcentral's name for it is "lncRNA (ENSGALG00010004259.1)". The record is from RNAcentral. Lineage: Eukaryota; Metazoa; Chordata; Aves; Galliformes; Phasianidae.
AGAAAUUGAUGAUAGCCUUUAUGGCAGAACAGCGCUUGAAUUAUCUGAAUCUGACAAAAGGAAUGCUAAUUCUGGGGCUUUGUGUUGAAAUACUUCUUGCUUUUGUCCUUUGGAUGAUGUUUUUAACAUUCUGGAGAGUUUUCUGCUGGAAUGGACCUGAGACAAGUCUGAGGCGUGAGGCUGGAAGUCCACCCAGCUCUAGGCCUGCCGGUCAGCAUGGCUUCAGAUGUGUGGAACUGAGCUGAGCAAGAGUGACUGCUGGAAGGAGCUGUGGGGAAGCCUGGAACGAGCUGCGGAGCUGCAAGUGCAUGUUUGAGGAGACCAAAAUACACUUGCCACUGGCCAAACUCUUCUGCUGUGAUGAGUAAGCAGACUUCCGACUGCCUUUACCUCGUACCGAGCUAGGCCAAUAAACAGCAUGGCUGAAAAUCCCAGGGCAAGGAGUUUCCAGCAGACACUGGCAACUGCCCUCCCGAAUCAGGGUCCGGUUUCCAACAGGAGCAAGGCCAAGCUCAACAAUGAAGUUAAAAGCCAAACUGUGGAGAAACUAGCUUCCUUACGUUGGAAAUGCAUCAAAAAAAGGGCAGCAGUUCAAAAGGGAAAAUGAGCAAAUCUGUGAAGACUUUCCUUGAAGCUCAGCACCAGGUUGUUGUUCCUUGAGAUGACCCCAGGAGAGCUGAGUGAGAACAAGAAGCAGUGAGAGUUGGCCUAGGGGCCCCCAGAACCUGCUUGGGUGCAGACAGCUGAGCGUAGGGAAAGCAGUUCUCUGAAACCUUGUUCUUGGGCUGAGCCAGAUUUUUAGGUCAUCUUAAAGUUUGAUUCUUCAUCUGCCUUGGGUGGAGGUGGUUUUUCAGUGAUGUGUAUGUAGUAAUACAUAUUGGAUGUGGUUCAAGUUGUCAUGAGAUGGAGGGGGAAAAAAAAAAGGUCACAAUGCUGCAAUUCUGUCUUCUAGUUUGGAUGGGCUGAGAGCUCUCCCCCUUAGGAGCUCUGAGGGCACCAUGAAAUCUGAAGGGGCUUCAUGAGAUCCAGCAUGUACAAGCUCAGGGCAAAUCCACCUGAAUCUUGGGAGUAACCAAUGGCUUUAAACUGGAGGAGGGUAGAUUUAGAAUAGUCAUUAGGAAGAAAUUCUGUACUGAGGGUGGUGAGACACUGGAACAGAUUGCAUAGUGAGGUUGUGGGUGCCCCCUCCCUGGAAGGCCAGGCUGGAUGGGGCUGUGAGCAACCUGUUCUAGAGGGAGGUGUCCCUGCCUGCAGCAGGGGGUUGGAACUACAUGAUCUUAAAGGUCUCUUCCAACCCAAGCCACUCUAUGAGUCGGUAAGGACAGAGAAUAAAAAU